GGGCCCGUAGCUCAGCCAGGUAGAGCAUCGGGCUUUUAACCCGAGGGUCGCGGGUUCAAAUCUCGUCGGGCCCG
RNAcentral lists this transfer RNA (74 nucleotides) under Nitrososphaerota archaeon. Its description in RNAcentral is "Thaumarchaeota archaeon tRNA-Lys". It matches the Rfam family "tRNA". From Rfam's summary of the family: Transfer RNA (tRNA) molecules are approximately 80 nucleotides in length. Their secondary structure includes four short double-helical elements and three loops (D, anti-codon, and T loops). The record is from RNAcentral. Lineage: Archaea; Thermoproteati; Nitrososphaerota.